GUCCAGGGAUGGGAAACGAACCCACAAUUAUUCGCUUACCGGGCAGAUGCCAUGUCCACUAGGCUACCCUGGA
This 73-nucleotide transfer RNA is filed under the name Cordylochernes scorpioides. RNAcentral describes it as "tRNA-Thr". The record is from RNAcentral. Lineage: Eukaryota; Metazoa; Arthropoda; Arachnida; Pseudoscorpiones; Chernetidae.